Molecule: long non-coding RNA, 639 nt
Filed under: Homo sapiens (human)
Lineage: Eukaryota; Metazoa; Chordata; Mammalia; Primates; Hominidae
Description: non-protein coding lnc-TPH2-5:1
Source: RNAcentral
AGAGUCACCUUCUAAGCACAUGAGAAUGAGAACAUCACCAUGGUGCAGGGCAUCCGACUUUCAGAAAAUAUAAUUGAUGGGAGAAAGCAACUCCCAUCAUCUGAUUUAAUGUCACAGCAGUAUUCUGCUGUUUAUGGUGCAUCAGUUUUUUCAUGAAGAUUUAAAAAGAAGAGUACCUGAGGAACUGGCAUUGGAGCAUGCCCAAAAGAAGAUUCUGAAAAUCAGAAAUGAUUAAAGCAAGGUAAAGAACUGGACCAACCAAGAGAGGGCCACUGCCAAUGAGCUUUGCUUCAGAGAGGCUAUCAAAUGAGGAGGAAGGCUGUAAGGCAAAACACCUGGCUGAGCACCUGGAAGAGAAAGACUUAGUGGCAAAGCAGCAGGAUGCAUUUUAAAAGGAGCAGCUGGCUAGACUGGAGGAGAGGAGCUGAAUUCCACAAAGUCACCACUGAGCAAUAUCAGAAAGCUGCCAAAGAGAGGGCAGCAAAGUUCAGUGACAUGAGUUUUGUCCUGUCUGUGCUGAUCUGCAGGCCAAAAUUCUUCAGUGUUAUCACCAGAGCACACACCAGACCCUCAGUGGCUUUGCACUAGCCAGCGUGUAAGUGUGCUGUGUUCAUUAUGCCAAACAGAACAUGCUUGAGA